UUUCUCUGUGUUUAAAGUACUUCACAAAUUAGAAAGAAAACCUUUCCUUGGCAAGAAAGGUCAGUGGCAGAUGUGGUUCUAGUAGGCCCUGGUCCUCAUCUGUGUUUGUGCUUUAUUCCUAGACUGAAAGCAAUGAUGGCUGCUGUCAUCUGUGGCCUGGCCACUGCAUUCAACAACAGCCAGAGGAAGAGCGAGACUUCUGCUGUCUCUCCUUAGAGUGAGGAACCAUCUUUCUCAGAAGCCCCUGGGAACUUCUGCUUCAGUCUCAUUGGUCUAGAACAGGUCACAUGUCUAGUCUUGAACCAAACCUUGAAGCCAGGAAAAGGCCAGCAGUUAAUUGGCUUAUUAGACCUGUAUCCCUGAGCCAAUCAUGGGCAAGGGAGGUGAGAUCACUCUUAGACAUACUAAGUCUUUGAAAGAAGCUGUGGGUGAAGAUCAGGUAUUACUCCCAGCCUUGGUGGGCAGAUCAGAACACGCUCUGAGCAGAGGAAGAAGAAGUUGGCCUAGUGGAAUUGGAGAGCUCCAUUUUAUAAUCAGCAGCUCUUUCUUAACACUUCAGAGCCCUGCAUCCACAGCAGGUCCAAUCCAGCUGAGGACUUCCAACUGCAUUGCUGAAAAGCAGUCAUCCUCUGGUCACCUGGCACUGAAUCAGGGUGGAGGGUAAGAUGACCUGUGACCUCAUUAACCACAUGAAGUCCACUUAGAUGACACAGUGACAGCAGAUGGUGUGGAGGAUGCCUGCUCCAGUAACGUCUCACACUCUGGCUCUCACCUUUCUGAUGUUACCAGAGCCGUGUGGCUAAGUUAUGAAAUCUUCUACAAUUUGCAGGAAAGGGUCAUUUUGGCAGAACAAGUGUCACAACAGAAAAGAGAUGGGAAGGCAGCCGGGAGGCUCUGGUGACUCCAAGAAACACUUGGUGCUCUGCUCCCAUGGUAGGGGAGGCGGGUGCCCAUGUGGCCUGGGUAUUUAGUCUGAAUGCAUAACUCUUCAAGGUGUGCCUCUACCCUGGCUGCCUAAGCAUGAUGAGACAUGAUACACCCUUGCAUUUGCACUGAGGGGCUGACUGAGCCACCAAAAGUAGGCAGGUGUUAUGUCUGUAGGAGUGAGAUUUGCAUGGGACCUGACUGUCCCUGAGGUCUCUGCCUGGGACAUUAGCCUUGGAAUAGUUGUGGCAUCACCAUGUAUGGGGAGAUACUACUUGGUACAGUGGGCAGGGGAGGCCGCCACAAUCCAGAUGGGUGACUUGGCCUGUUUUAGCAGGAGCAUAUAGCUGCCAUCGUAAGCCUGGAGCAGUCAGAAAAGAUCCUCCUCAUUCAUUUUCCAAGAGUCUUUCCAGGACAAUUUAGGGCAGGAUCCCCCAGCUGAUCUACCCAUCUUCCCUGGGUACCCCUGGACUACAGAUGGGGACCAUUGCCCCUGUGAGUGAAUAAUGGGCUUCUCAGUCAGCAGAGUACACAUUAUGUGCCUGUCUGCUCCUCCUCCAUCAAUGCCUCUGUGCAGGGGUGAGCUUGGUGUGGGCAUUAAUUUGGAUUCCUCCAGAAGCCCGCACUGAGAGGAUUCAGGUGCAAAUAAUGUAUCUGGAAGGUGAGCCCAGGCAACAAUAGUUAGGCCAGAGGGGAAGGCAGGAUAGCAGGCAUUCAUUCAAAAGUUCGUGACUACAGCCACCGAGGGGUGAAGGAGCUCAGUGAAACAUUCACCCACCACCUCUCAUGGUUACUGGUUGAGGGCUGCUCCUGGGCUGUUAAUGUACCAGCACUUCUAGCCUUCCCUCUGUAGCUUCAGGCAGAGAGAAUCCAAGCUUGGAGCAAGAAACCUUGGGUGGCACCAGCUGGUACCCAGGAAUAUGGGCGGGGCAUCAGCACCCAUGCUACAGUUGUCUAGAGAAGGGGUGCUUGGCUUUGUCUUUUCAGGCAGACCAAAACUAUAAUUGUACUUUUACAGGAAGGAAGACCAAAAGGUAGAAGCAACCCAACUGUCCGUGGACAGAUGGAAGGAUGGGCAGACAAGCAAAAUGUGGUCUAUCCACACAAUGGAUUAUUAUUCAGCCUUAAAAAAGGUAGGACAUUCUGACACAUGCUACAAUAUGUAUGAACUUUGAGGAUACUAUGCUAAGUGAAUAAGCCAAUGACAGAAAGACAAAUACUGUAUGGUUCCUCUUCUAUUCAAUUCAUAGAGUAGCCAAAAUCAUAGAAAUCAUAUGGUGGUUGCCAGGGGUACUAGAAGGAGGAGUUAGUGUUUAUACUUUGGGAAGAUGAAAAUGUUCUGGGGAUAGAUGGUGGUGCUGGUUGCCCAGCAAUAUGAAUGUCCUUAAUGCCACAGAACUAUGCGCUUAAAAAUGAUUAGUAAAUUUUAUGUAUAUUUUACUACAAUAAAAAAUAAAGAAGGAAAACCAAGCACCAACACCUGAGUAACUUCUCCAAGACCACUCAGUGGUUAGCUGUCUCCAGUGAGGCCAGUGGAGAGUAGGAGACGCAUCUGUUGCUACUGCAGGCACAGGGGACCUCACUCAGCCUGUCACCUCCAUACCACCUGAGGACUCCACAGCAAGGAUGGAACAAGCCUCUCUGAGUAUUAUAGCCCAGAUUAAUUUGAGACAAGAAUGACACUUUUUGGGCUAUCCAAGGAGUAACUCCUUGGGAUGACUGGCAUCCCUGAAUCCCACGCUGUUACAGUUUCAUCUUGCAGAAAGUGAAACUGACAUUUUGAUGACCUACUGUGCUCAGGAGGCAGAGGGCAUCAGACCAGACUUGCUGCCUGUUAGUUUAUGUCUUAGGGGCAGGAGGGAGAGCGAACAGAUAUUAAGUGACAUUAGGCACAAAGCCGAAGGAUGGGUUAACGAAGCUGCCAGGGGGAGGGGGCUGCGCAGAAGCUGGGGGAAGGGCAAGGUAUCCUGAUGGGCAGCAGGGACAGCAGGCAGGGACGGCCUUGGGGAACUGGAAGGUCGAGGUGGUAGAGAAUGACAUGAUCAGCUUUGUUUCAUUCUCUUGCUGCUGUGGGAAGAAUGGAUUAGACAGGGUGAGGGUCAGGAGCUGCGGUUUGUACCUGAGUAGGGGUGGGGUCAGCAGUCACACGAGGGUCUCACAUGAGGGUCAGGAUGCAGAAACAUCUCAGCACCUUUGGGGAAAAACAUCUGUAAGUCAUAACUUAAAUUAAAAUAGAAUUCUGUGAUAUAUUUAAUCAGUUGUAAUGAGAACAGACAUACAUAGAAGACAGAAACCAGAAAUUGGAAACCUCAUUUUAGGUGGCUUGGAGCACAACCAUGAUUAAAGUGAUUGUCCCUGCACUUUCACUGCUUCACAGGGCACUCGGAGAACCCAAAACAGCCUCUACCAUCUUUUCAGAUAUCCCUUGCCAUAAAAUGGAGGGUUGUACUCUGUCUUUCCAGCACCUUCUGUUCGCAUCGCAUUUUGCUAGAUGCUGAGACAUCAAGAUACACAAAAUAAGUAGUCACAUCUCCAGAGUGCUUCAGGUCUGGUUGGAGCAGUUAGGCAGGUGCAGCUGAAGAGUUAAACAUGUGUCUUUUGUAGCAGAUCAAGGCAGCCAGAAGUAGGACGUGAUUAAUUGUUUAAUGAUAAAUGGGACAGAAAAUAAGGGACUGUAGGAAAUGAGAGAAAAGGAGAGCCCCUUAGGGUUUCCUGAGCCAGAUCUGAACUAGAAUGAUGCCUGGGGUUGGGACUGAUCCUCAACAUGAGAGCAGCAUGAAUAAGAGCAAGGGGUAGAAAGGGCGUGGUGUCUGAGUGGCAGUGUGCAUCGCACUGGAGCUCUGCUAGAGGAUUCAUUUCCACAGGCGAGAGUAGGCUGCAGGGUGUCCUCAGGUGGAGAGGUGGUGAGACACCAGAUUGUAUGCAGGGGCACGGGGCCUGUGCAGUCUGGGAGGCCAUCCCUCAUCCCCCACUCUGGAAGUGAAAGCAGGAUAGAAGCCUGGAUGGAGGGGGCAGUGGUGAUGUCCUUGGAAGAGGGUGGGGGAGAAAUUUGGAGAGUGAAAGGAGUUACUGUAGACAUUCUGAACAUGAGGUGUUUGGGGAACUAUCAGACGUAGUGCAAAGAGGCUGAAGGUGAAAGAAACCACCCUUGGGCUUAUUUUUCAUAAGGCUGUGGGGAUGUUCAGGAAUGUGAGGUAUACGGGAUAGUAGAGCCAUGUGUCAGUGGCCAGGGGUGAGGAGGAGACAGAUGGCCACUCAGGUUGGGUCAUUUGAGGAGAGUUUGACUAAGGGGCAGAGUACAGAAAUAUGGGCAGGGGGUGGGGAGACACGGAGAGGUGCAGUCUAGGGACUGGGAGCUGUGGCAGCCAGCCUACAGGGGACUGGAGGAGGGUUGUAACCUGAGAGGCCACAUGGAGAGGGACUAGCCAAAGGUGAACCCAGGGACAGCCGCAUCCCAGCCUCACUUGCCUCUCCCCACCAGAGAGAUGGGUACCAUUGCCAAAGUGUCUGCUGAAGGCCAACCUCCCCCACUGCAGGGUGAGGGAGACAAGAAAUGAUGCAGACACCACAACAGACUGACGGAGAUGGUGCAGGGAGGUGGGCGCUGGGCAGCCUGAGUGGUGACAGGUGGCUGUGCUUAUGCAGGGGAGGGCAUGGAAGAUUAUGGGGAGGAACCCGAUGGGAAGGGGCAGGUUUGAGUCCAAUAACCAGGCAUAGGUAUACAUCUCUGGUCAGUCCUCCCUCCAGAAAAAGCAUGAUAGUAAAAAAGAAAAAAUAUUUUAGUAAUCCAUGAAAACUGAGUAAUGAUGAUGAUGAUUACAGAGUGAACACCCACCAAUUGAUGAGCCUUUGUAUCCUAUGAUUUGUUUUUACAAAACUAGCAGAAACCAGAAUUUCCAAAUUCUACUUCCCCUUAAUUUUUGUCCUCAGAAAAUCUGACCUACAUGGUGCUUGAGAAUAAUAUUCUCGAACUAGUAGCCUGGUAAGAAUCAGCCCUUCCCCUUCCUUUUCAAUUCACCAGAAUCGACAUGUUAGCAAAAUCUGCUUGAGAGCAGGUUUCUUCAGCUUGUUCAGCACAGGCUCCCCAUCCAGUAGGUCCAGGGUGGGCCCGAGGGUCUGCAUUCCCACCAGCUCCCCAGCCAGGUGCUGGCGGUCUCUGGAGCCACUGGGCACAGCCAGGCCACGGAAGGCCUCUUCUAAUGACCUGAGUGGGGAUUCAGGGGAAGAAGCAGCAGUUAGGUGAUCACAAGUAUAAGAACUGGGUGAGAAACAUCUAUACAAACCCCCCUCCCCUUCCCAAAAAAAAAAAGGAAAGAAAGAAAAAGGAA
RNAcentral lists this long non-coding RNA (5252 nucleotides) under Canis lupus familiaris (dog). Its description in RNAcentral is "lncRNA (ENSCAFG00845019928.1)". Lineage: Eukaryota; Metazoa; Chordata; Mammalia; Carnivora; Canidae. The record is from RNAcentral.